Gadus macrocephalus (Pacific cod) is the source of this 608-nucleotide non-coding RNA. Lineage: Eukaryota; Metazoa; Chordata; Actinopteri; Gadiformes; Gadidae. The record is from the annotation of a RefSeq genome assembly.
AUGGAGACUCUGACAGUGAUAAACUGCUGCAUCUUCACGCUGGGCGGCGUUGAUGGCACCCAGCUCAUCGUUGAUUUGGGAGUGGUGCAGCCCACGCUGAGCGUCCUCCCUCCCUCCAGAGUGGAGCUGGAGCAGGGCAGUGCUACACUGCUGUGUGUGGCCAGUGGGGGCUUCCCCUCAGACUGGAAGCUUGGCUGGAAGGUGGGGGGCAGCAGCAGGUCUGGGGGGGUGUCAGAUAGCCUGGGGGUCCUGGGGAAAGAUGGCCACUACAGCUGGAGCAGCACCUUGUCCCUCCCUGCAGACCAGUGGAGGAAGGCGGGCUCAGUGAGCUGUGAGGCCAGUAAGAAUGGCCAGACGCAGCCUGUCACUCAAACCCUGAAUCCUGGAGAGUGUUCAGAGUAGAGAGGCUCCAGCAUGGAAGAACUGGAGGACACAGAUCUCCUCUGACACGUCUGCUUUAUUUCUCUUUUUCUGAGGUGACACUGCAGAUUUUGAUAAAUUACAUUAAUAUAACAUGUCUUCUAAUCAAUAACAUGAUGCUCUCUGGAUUUGACCCCUUGCUUGUGUUGGUCACAUGUUGAACAUUUAAUAAAGAUGUUAAGAUUAAA